RNAcentral lists this long non-coding RNA (3320 nucleotides) under Brassica napus (rape). RNAcentral describes it as "long non-coding RNA (BNAP_LNC000825)". Lineage: Eukaryota; Viridiplantae; Streptophyta; Magnoliopsida; Brassicales; Brassicaceae. The record is from RNAcentral.
AAAAAUCAUAAAUAACAUAACUGAAAGUUAGUUUCAAACAAUAUUUUAUUUUAAUAAAAUAGAAAUGUAAAUUAUUAGGUUUGUAAUUUAUUCAGGAUGUAUUUUUGGCGGGAGUGAACGCGGGAGUAAUCACUAUGAUAUGGACAAUGACAGAGCUAAUCAGACAUCCGAGAGUUAUGAAGAAACUCCAAGAAGAGAUACGAACAACACUCGGAUCCAACAAAGAGAGAAUCACAGAAGAAGACCUAGAGAAAGUUGAGUACAUGAAGCUAGUGAUCAAAGAAUCAUUCAGAUUACAUCCACCUGCUCCUCUCUUGCUCCCAAGACAAACAAUGUCGGACAUCAAAAUCCAAGGCUACAACAUUCCUAAGAACACCAUGAUCCAAGUCAGCACUUACGCGAUAGGACGUGAUCCACAAUGUUGGAAGAGCCCUGAAGAGUUCAUUCCCGAGAGGUUUUUAAAUACAUCUAUCAACUACAAAGGUCAGCAUUUUGAGUUCUUGCCCUUUGGAGCUGGUCGUAGGAGCUGUCCCGGGAUGGCCUUGGGAACCACCAUUGUCGAGCUUGGCCUUCUUAACCUUCUUUACUUCUUUGAUUGGAGUUUGCCCGAUGGAAUGAAAAUUGUAGACAUUGACAUGGACGAAGUCGGAUCUUUAAACAUCGCCAAGAAAGUGCCUCUUGAGCUCGUACCAACUCUUUAUCGUUUCUAAACAAUAAUAUAUAUACAAGACCUGAUUUGUAUAUUUUAUAUUUUAUUUCGUUUUUGUUCUACGUUUAUUCUAGAUGGCUUGUAUUUAAAGAAAGUAUAUAUUCAUGUUCAUAAUGCUUAUAUCUUCACUGAAACUUGUACUAUUCUAAAUUUGAAAAUUUCUCCCCUUCCCCCUCCCACAUUGAAUGAUUGAAGUGGUCUUUAAAUUUCAUGUUGCCAUAAUAUCAGAAGUAAAUGGUUAAGUAACAUACGAUCAAUUUAUUACGAGACACUGAUUUCCUCAAAAAGCUCUUGAAAUAAUUUAAAAUUAUUCUACGUCAUUAGAAGUAUGGGUCGUAAUAAAGUGAUGGGUCGUAAUAAAGUGAUCGUAUGUUAACAACUUUUACUUCUGAUAUGUCAACAUGAAACAUGGUUUUGUUUAAAGACAUAACUUGAAUGUUAUAUUAUAUGUUUCUUAUAAAUGGAAGAUCAUAAUGUGAUCCAAACUCUAUGUAGUCAGAGUUUUGAAUCACAUAUAUAUAUGUGAUUAUUCAUUUAUAAGCCCCCACACUAGAUACUUACCAUAAGAGCUAUUCAGCUUGAUUCUUAGCUAAAUAUCAACAGCAGUCCAUGGGAAAAUCAUAUUUAUAUAUUAUAUUAAAAAAACCAAGCCUGGUUUGAGGUUAAAUUUUUUUGGAAUAGUUCAUAUUUCCCAUGGAAUAUUUCAUUUUUAUAUAAUUAUCAAACCUAAUUACUUUCUGGUUACAAACUUACAAGAAUCAGAUCCAUAAGAAAAUGAUAGAUUUGUUUAUUGUCACGUAUUGUAUGUUGUCGGUUUGGUUAGAGAGAGAGCUCUAUAUCUAACCUGUGUUUUUGAGAUAGCACUUUCUCCAGCCACAUACCCAAGAACAUGAUAUGUCUCGGGACGGUUGCCUUAAUUGAUUCAGUUCAUCUGGUAUAAUAAAUAAAACAUUCAUUUAAGUACAAAAGCCUAACCACAUGCAUGCAUCGCCUAUAUGGAUCCUCUCUGAUAACAAAAUGCUCAAUCCCACAUAAUUAGUACUAGUAAGAAUAAUAAUGUCUAUCUACCUUUAUUUCCUCUUCAUCUCCCUUCUCGUUCUGAUCAUUUUUAAAAAGCUUUUACCCUCGAAAAGGAAGCUUCCCCCAGGACCUACAGGUCUUCCCAUCAUUGGAAACUUGCACCAGCUUGGAGGACUGCUUCACAGCACUCUUCACAAGCUAUCUUUAGAACAUGGACCAGUGAUGCUUCUUCGCUUUGGGGUCGUCCCUAUGGUCGUGUUCUCUUCAAAGGAAGCAGCUAAAGAAGCUCUCAAGACUCAUGACCUAGAGACAUGCAACCGACCUAAGUUGGUGGGCAACGGAUUGUUUACUCACAACUUCAAAGACAUUGGGUUCACUCAGUAUGGUGAGGAAUGGAGAGAGAUGAAAAAACUCGUGGGACUCGAGCUCUUUAGUCCGCAAAAGCAAAAGUCUUUCAGGUAUAUCAGAGAGGAAGAAGGUGACUUGCUAGUCAAGGAAAUAUCAAAAUCUGCCCAAACACAAACCCUAGUGGAUUUGAGAAAAGCCUUGUACUCUUUCGCCGCCGGUGUCAUACUUAGACUCGCCUUCGGACAGAACUUCCAUGAGUGUGAUUUCAUCGAUAUGGACAGAGUUGAAGUGCUGGUGCAAGAGGCAGAAACCAGUGUAUGCGCAUUGGCAUUCACUGACUUCUUCCCCACGGGUCUCGGCUGGCUUGUUGACCGUAUCUCGGGUCAGCAUUCAAGGAUGAACAAAGCCUUUUCCAGGCUCACCAGUUUCUUUCAACAUGUGAUAGAUGAGCAUAAGAAAGCUGGACAAACCCAAGAUCGUUCAGACUUAGUUAGUGCUAUGUUGGAUAUGAUCAAUAGACCCACUAAAUCAGGUUCUUUCAAGGUCACCUCUCAUCAUCUCAAAGCAAUGAUGACAGUGAGUUUCUCUUAAUUAUACUUUCUCCUUUGCAAAAUAGAUUUUGUUUAAAGUAUCUUCACAUAAAUUAAGAAAACGAUUAAGUAUUCGGUUUCCCCCUUAUUUGACUAUUAAAAUUAUAUAACAUUAUUUUUUUUUAAUUUAAUUUGGGAUAAAAGAUAUUAAAUUAGUGAAAAAACUAUAUUAAAAUCAUAGAACAACAAUUAUUUUGUAACAAAAGUUGUACUAUACAACAACACUUAAUAUGACCCAUUUAUACAUCUAGUUCAUUUUGUUGCUUCGUCUUAAGUUAUACGUAUGUCAUGUUAUCAGGAUGUGGUUUUGGCUGGGAUAAACGCAGGAGUAACAACAAUGAUAUGGACCAUGACAGAGCUAACCAGACAUCCAAGAAUAAUGAACAAACUCCAAGAAGAGAUUAGAACAAAACUCGGAUCCAACAAAGAGAGAAUCACAGAAGAAGACCUAGAGAAAGUUGAGUACAUGAAGCUAGUGAUCAAAGAAUCAUUCAGAUUACACCCACCUGCUCCUCUCUUGCUCCCAAGACAAACAAUGUCCGAGAUAGAGGUUCAUGGCUACACCAUUCCCAAGAACAGCAUGAUCAAGAUCAACACUUACGCCAUAGGACGUGAUCCAAAAUGCUGGACUAAAGCUGAAGAAUUUAUUCCUG